GGAGUUAGGAAAUGCAGGAGCGUUAAUAGCGUUCUUGCUUGACUAAGGCUCCAGAGGAAGCCACGGCUAACUCUGUGCCAGCAGCCGCGGUAAUACAGAGGCGGCAAGCGUUGUUCGGAAUUAUUGGGCGUAAAGAGCACGUAGGCGGCCUUGCAAGUCAGUUGUGAAAGCCUUCCGCUCAACGGAAGAAUGCCAGCUGAUACUACAGGGCUUGAGUACGGGAGGGGAGAGUGGAACUUCUG
Molecule: ribosomal RNA, 242 nt
Filed under: uncultured Planctomycetales bacterium
Lineage: Bacteria; Pseudomonadati; Planctomycetota; Planctomycetia; Planctomycetales
Description: partial 16S ribosomal RNA
Rfam family: Bacterial small subunit ribosomal RNA
Source: RNAcentral